RNAcentral lists this ribosomal RNA (463 nucleotides) under uncultured bacterium. RNAcentral describes it as "partial 16S ribosomal RNA". It matches the Rfam family "Bacterial small subunit ribosomal RNA", at positions 28 to 507 of the family's 1533-position model. The record is from RNAcentral.
GAUGAACGCUGACAGAAUGCUUAACACAUGCAAGUCUUUGGCGAAUCUGUGCUUGCACAGGCUAGCCAAGGCGGACGGGUGAGUAACGCGUAAAGAACUUGCCCUGCAGACAGGGAUAACAGACGGAAACGACUGAUAACACCUGAUACAGUUGCCGGCACGCAUGUGCCUGGCAAUGAAAAGAGAUGCUGCAGGAGAGCUUUGCGUCCUAUUAGCUUGUUGGUGAGGUGACGGCUCACCAAGGCGAUGAUAGGUAGCCGGCCUGAGAGGGUGAACGGCCACAAGGGGACUGAGAUACGGCCCUUACUCCUACGGGAGGCAGCAGUGGAGAAUAUUGGACAAUGGGGGCAACCCUGAUCCAGCAAUUCUGUGUGCACGAAGAAGGUUUUCGGAUUGUAAAGUGCUUUCAGCAGGGAAGAAGAAAGUGACGGUACCUGCAGAAGAAGCGACGGCUAAAUACGUG